RNAcentral lists this ribosomal RNA (116 nucleotides) under Pteropus alecto (black flying fox). The record is from RNAcentral. Lineage: Eukaryota; Metazoa; Chordata; Mammalia; Chiroptera; Pteropodidae.
GUCUACGGCCAUGCCACACUGAACAAGCCCGACGUCUGAUCUCAGGAGCUAAGCAGGGUCGGGCCUGGUUAGGACUUGGAUGGGUGACCACCUAGGAAGAUCAGGUGCUGUAGGCA